RNAcentral lists this ribosomal RNA (424 nucleotides) under uncultured bacterium. RNAcentral's name for it is "bacterial SSU rRNA". It matches the Rfam family "Bacterial small subunit ribosomal RNA", at positions 355 to 776 of the family's 1533-position model. The record is from RNAcentral.
UAAGGAAUAUUGGUCAAUGGACGCAAGUCUGAACCAGCCAUGCCGCGUGGAGGAUGAAGGUCCUCUGGAUUGUAAACUUCUUUUAUCUGAGAAGAAACCCAGGAAUUCUUUCCUGGCUGACGGUACCAGAUGAAUAAGCACCGGCUAACUCCGUGCCAGCAGCCGCGGUAAUACGGAGGGUGCAAGCGUUAUCCGGAUUCACUGGGUUUAAAGGGUGCGUAGGUGGGUUGGUAAGUCCGUGGUGAAAUCCCCAAGCUUAACUUGGGAACUGCCGUGGAUACUAUCAAUCUUGAAUAUCGUUGAGGUAAGCGGAAUAUGUCAUGUAGCGGUGAAAUGCUUAGAUAUGACAUAGAACACCGAUAGCGGAGGCAGCUUACUAAGCGAUCAUUGACACUGAGGCACGAAAGCGUGGGGAGCAAACAGG